RNAcentral lists this ribosomal RNA (301 nucleotides) under uncultured bacterium. RNAcentral describes it as "partial 16S ribosomal RNA". It matches the Rfam family "Bacterial small subunit ribosomal RNA", at positions 509 to 807 of the family's 1533-position model. The record is from RNAcentral.
CAGUAGCCACGGUAAUACGAAGGGUGCAAGCGUUACUCGGAAUCACUGGGCGUAAAGCGUGCGUAGGUGGUGGUUUAAGUCCGUUGUGAAAGCCCUGGGCUCAACCUGGGAAUUGCAGUGGAUACUGGGUCACUAGAGUGUGGUAGAGGAUAGUGGAAUUUCCGGUGUAGCAGUGAAAUGCGUAGAGAUCGGAAGGAACAUCUGUGGCGAAGGCGACUAUCUGGGCCAACACUGACACUGAGGCACGAAAGCGUGGGGAGCAAACAGGAUUAGAUACCCCCGUAGUCCCUGUCUCUUAUAC